AUGUCCACCUCCUCCGCAGUCCCCUCCUCUGGCCUCAACUACAACACCUCAGAACCUCUCAGCCGGACGAACUAUGUUCUCUGGCGAGCCCAAGCACGAUCCCAGAUAUUGGGCGCCGGCUUGUUUGGCUACAUAGAUCAGACUAUAGAGGAGCCUCCAAAAACAACCAUCAGCAAAGAUAAAGAUGGCAAAGAUCAGGUAGUUCCCAACCCUGCUCAUAAACCUUGGCUUGUUCAAGAUUAG
Molecule: ribosomal RNA, 243 nt
Filed under: Triticum aestivum (bread wheat)
Lineage: Eukaryota; Viridiplantae; Streptophyta; Magnoliopsida; Poales; Poaceae
Description: partial small subunit ribosomal RNA
Source: RNAcentral